AUGAACCAAAAAAAGUCACAAAUUGUUGGAGCUUCAGAGUUCAACCUUUCAGAUCACAAACAUCCAUUAUCAUCACCUCACGACCUCAUGUCAGUUCCUGUAAAACCCUUCAACGCACACCUCCUCCGCGUCACUCGUCUCCGCACACAACACUUUUCACAAAUGCCCGGUCAACCGCUGCACACAGGAUCGCGCAUCCUAUUCGCCGUUGGUGUCCGUGUCUCCGACCGUUUGCAACCACCGUUCACCAUCAUGUAG
This is a non-coding RNA of Vicia faba (fava bean), 258 nucleotides long. The record is from the annotation of a GenBank genome assembly. NCBI's taxonomy places the organism in Eukaryota, Viridiplantae, Streptophyta, Magnoliopsida, Fabales, Fabaceae.